UUUGUGUGAGCAACAAGGCUGUUUAUUCACUUGAGUGCAAGUGGGCUGAGUCUGAAAACAGAGUCAGUGAAGGGAGAUGGGGAAGGGGUUGCUUUAUAGGAGUUGGGUAGGUAAUGGAAAAUUACAGUAAAAAGUGGUUAUCUAUUGUUAGCAGAGGAGGGGGUCACAAGGUACAUGGUGGGGAGAUGAUAAGACCCAUUGUCCAGAAGAAGACUGUCACAAGGUCGAUUGAUCAGUUAAGGUAGGACAGGGACAGGUCACAAUGGUGGAAUGUUGUAAUGUUGGUUAAUCAGUUAAGGCAGGAACUGGCUGUUUUACUUCUUGUGUGGUUUUUCAGCUGCCCCAGACUUCUUGGCUCCUGCAGGCCAUCUGGACAUAUAUGUGCAGGUCACAGGGGUUACAAUGGCUGAGCUUCGGCUCAGAGGCCUGACACCUCUUACUUCUGAGGGAUUGCUCAAGGUAGAAGGUUAAUAAAUUCUUAAACUACCCCCCACUUUCACUACAGAGAUUAAGAGUACAGUUCUGUCCAAGGAUUUGAUCUGGCCCAACAAAGAGCCUUCUUCAGAAGUGGAUUAGUUUUGUCCUUUGGUGAGGCUUGUGAUGGGCCUUAUUUAUUCGUAUUGUAGGCCUCUUAUACUAUUCCAAAAACAAGACAAGGGAACUGAAACCACUUUGCAUAAUAAUGUCACCUAUUAUCUCCAGUGAGGCUAGUCUGGUCACCUCUGGAUCAAUAGUACUCUUUUUUUUUUUUUGAGAUGGAGUUUUGCUCUUCUUGCCCAGGCUGGAGUGCAAUGGCGCGAUCUUGGCUCACUGCAACCUCUGCCUCCCGGGUUUAAGUGAUUCUCCUGCCUCAGCCUCCCGAGUAUUUGGGAUUACAGGCGCCUGCCACCAUGCCCGGCUAAUUUUGCAUUUUUAGUAGAAACGGGGUUUCUCCAUGUUGGUCAGGUUGGUCUCUAACUCCUGACCUCAGGUGAUCCAUCCGCCUCAGCCUCCCAAAGUUCUGGGAUUACAGGCGUGAGCCACCACACCUGGCCAUAGUUGUCUUUCUUAUUGUGGAUUUAAUCUGCAUUGUCCCUAAGAACUCAGAAUUACUGUUGAUGCUUCAAAAGGGUGUGUGUGUGUGUGUGUGUGUUCAGUUAAUCCAGAAAUUCCUCCCAGGAAAAUAGAAGACCCCAGGAGGAGUGGGGCAACAACUCUUUAUCUGCUACGGGCAGACAGAUCUUCAUGAAAACACACAUGAACCUCCAGAACUCGAUGUGCUCCACCAGCCGGCCUUAGCUUGUCAAAGCCAACCUUGGAAUUUCCUGCUGAAGCCCCCAUGGAAUAGCUCAGCUAGCAGGAACUGUAGAAUAGAGGAUCCUUACUUCAGUGCAUCUUGAUGUUCUGAGUGAAGGAACAGCACAGACCCUCUGGGAGACCAUCCCUGUGUGUUAGUGAGGUCUUGCAUUGUAAAGAUCUUGAAGAAAGGAGACUGUGUCUGUGAGUCCUCAACAAAGCAGACACCUGAUUGGAGUUAGGAGUCCAAAGGGUUUAUCCGAAGUGGCACUUGCUGGUCUGAUCCAUGCACAAGGCGGGGCUGCUAGGCCUCUGUGCCCGGGCUUGGAAUUCGGUGCGGAUGGCCAGCUCCGGGAUGACCCGCCGGGACCCGCUCGCAAAUAAGGUGGCCCUGGUAACGGCCUCCACCGACGGGUGAGUGCUCCGGCCGGAGUUUCUGAGGCCCUGGCUGCCUGGAAACAGGCACUGGCCUCUCAUCCUCGGCCUCCGGUGCCCCUGUCCUCAGACCUUACACGCUGCCAAAGUCUGGCCCUCUGGCACAACUGUGCCACCUCUGUGCAGCCCUAUCGAUCUAGUCUCCCCAGUGUUCU
Molecule: non-coding RNA, 1865 nt
Filed under: Homo sapiens (human)
Lineage: Eukaryota; Metazoa; Chordata; Mammalia; Primates; Hominidae
Source: RNAcentral